GACGGAGGAUGCAAGCGUUAUCCGGAAUUAUUGGGCGUAAAGCGUCCGCAGGUGGCUGUUCAAGUCUGCUGUCAAAUUCCAGGGCUCAACCCUGGUUCGGCAGUGGAAACUGGAUAGCUAGAGUACGGUAGGGGCAGAGGGAAUUCCUGGUGUAGCGGUGAAAUGCGUAGAUAUCAGGAAGAACACCGGUGGCGAAAGCGCUCUGCUGGGCCGUAACUGACACUCAUGGACGAAAGCUAGGGGAGCGAAAGGG
Molecule: ribosomal RNA, 253 nt
Filed under: uncultured bacterium
Lineage: Bacteria
Also listed under: 1 other name
Description: partial 16S ribosomal RNA
Rfam family: Bacterial small subunit ribosomal RNA
Source: RNAcentral